GCCUUUUUCUGGCAUCCGGGCCUGGAGGGGCUGCUCUGAAGACGGGCGAGCAGCAUGGAGGCCCGCGGCGAAUCCCAGCCUGACGCGAGGUGUUCGUCGUUUUCCUGGGACGGCUCCGGGGUCUCAGUGUCCAGGGAGCUGCUGACGGCGGGCAGUGGCGGCCGCGGAGGUAUAUGGGACACGUUGGUCAUCAACUCCAAGCCUAAUUCCAGAAAGAAUUCCACUCUUCAAACAGUUCGGAUAGAGAGGAGUCCCCUAUUGGACCAAGUACAGAGCUUUCUCCCACAGAUGGCUCAGGCAAACGACAAGCUAAGGAAAGUAAUGGCAGCUGCACCACCUGGUCAUUUCAAUAUUGAAAAUAUUGACGAGACUCUCAGAAAAGUUAUGCAAAUGGAUGUGGCCUUGUUUGAGAUGAAUCAGUCUCAUUCAAAAGAAGAGGACAGUUCAGAAGAGAAUUCACAAGACAGUUCAGGGGACAGUUCAGAAUUUGAGGAUGAAGAUGAUAGCACCUCUUCUGAAGGUGAAGUCACCACCAAUACCAUUAAGCUUCCUCAUUCAGAAGAUGGAAAAGGCAAAAUAGAGGUUCUGGACAGUCGUGCCAGUGAAAAAAAAGAAACAGGGAAAUAAACCAUCUGAGAAACAGGUGAUAGAUGCCUGCAAAUUCUGUGAAAAAGAAUGUGGCGUGCCGGUUAUUUUGCAUUUCAGAUACCUAUGGUGCUUUUUUGCAAUAUUGAAUGUAUUUUGCUUCUUGGAGAAACAGAAGCUAGCUUUUAAAGAGUUGGAAGAGAUAGCAUUUGGGGAUCUUCUAAGAGCAGACUGUUUUUGAUCUCAUGCUAAAGAGAUUUAGUUUAGAAAGCUUAACUUUAUGUAUGGUGAUGAGUGAAUUUGUUGGUAUCUUCUUUCAUCAGCAUAGACUUCAGAAAUCUCAAACCUAUUUUAAAGCAAAAAUACAAGUUAUCCAUUUGUUUUUGUUUAAAUUGGCCUCUUGGGGCUUCCCUGGUGGUGCAGUGAGUCCG
Molecule: non-coding RNA, 1016 nt
Organism: Delphinapterus leucas (beluga whale)
Lineage: Eukaryota; Metazoa; Chordata; Mammalia; Artiodactyla; Monodontidae
Source: RefSeq, a predicted model, not a curated record